AACGAAAUCAGCAAGGGGGAAGCCAUAGUUAGGGUUUUUAAACUUCCAAGCUCAAUAGUAAGUGAUUCCAAGCCCCGUUUUUAAUGUUCUUUACGUUUUUGGAGUCCCGGUAACUUAAUUUAGCUUAUUCUAUCAAUAAUUCGUGUUAGGGUUCAUAUUUGGAAAAAUACCCAUAGGUGAAAUGUGUUUACUUUGCUGUUUUAUGGUGGAAUAUGAAGCUAGAAAUUAUGUUAAACAACUUUUGCUAAGCGAUUUUAAACGAAAACGGGUAAAUUGACAUAAUCGGUAAAAAUAGUUAAUGUUCAAAAGUAUGUGUUAGAGUGAGAAUUUGAUGUUGCCAUAGAAGGGAAAAAUGUUCAGUAUGUCAUAAAACCUAAUAAUAAGUGAUGAAGUUUAAUUUCCGAGCUUAGGGACAAAAGUGUAAAUAUGUAAAAGUUUGGGGGCAAAAUUGUAAAUAUUCAAAAAGUUGGGUGGAGGAUUAUUUUAAUAAAUGUGAACAUUAAACGAGUUAAAUUUGCUAUUAUAGAUCAAGAGAGACGAGAAGAUUAUCUUAAACGAGGAAAAGAAAAGAUAGUGGAGUGAAUUGCAAAAUUACGAUAUUUUGCACCGAGGUAAGUAAACACGUGACUUAAUGUAUUAUUUUGGUAUUAUUUGAUAUGUGUUGAGAUUUAUUUGAAUAUAAAAUAAAUGUUUGACAAGAUUCCAAAAAUGUUGUUAAAUUGGGAAAGGUGGUAAGGAGUUGCAAAACACGAUUUUUGGUUGAACACUCGGAAUAGGCCGGAGCAUAUUGCAUAUAAAGGGGUUGCUGUGUGCUGAUUCCCCUAUUCAUUGGUGGUUGCUAAGUGCUGAUUCCACCGUAUUUUAAAUCUGAAAGGGGGUUGCUAAGUGCUGAUUCCCCGACCCAUUUGGUGGUUGCUAAGUGCUGAUUCCACCGCAUCUGAAAUGUGAAGGGGGUUGCUAAGUGCUGAUUCCCCCAAGGGGUUGCUGUGUGCUGAUUCCCCGAUUCAUUGGUGGUGCUAAGUGCGGAAUCCACCAACAACGGUUAACAUUCCGAGUGUUCAACGAGCAAAUUGAGAAGGUGAAUAUUCAUAUAUGUGAUGGACGAGUUUAUGGGAGGAAUAUCGGGUUUGAUACUUAAUCAACCCAUGUAUAAGAUGGGAGGAAAAAUAAAAAAUAAAAAAGAAACAAUUUGAAUGCAAAACUGUUUUGAAUGGCAGCAGUUGGGCAACUUUGAAAAAUCACCAUAAAUGGUGAAAAAUGAAUUGGAGGUUGAAUAAAAUAUGAAAUUGAAGCGGAAUGAGUCUAUUUUCAUAUGAAAGAAGUGGGGAAAGCAAAGGAAUUAUAUAUUUGGGGAUAUUUAAAUUUUACGGAGACAGGGUUGGAUUGAAUUCGAAAUCCCCUGUUCCAACUUUGGAAAAUCACCAAAAAUUAUAAAAAAAUAAUUAUGGCUUUAAAUUUAUAUGACUGGAUUCCUUUUUGAGUCUAUUUUUAAUAGAAACAAACGAGAACAUUUUUUGAAACUUGUAUAGAGAGUUAUGUGAAUUUUUGUAAGGGGAGGUCAGGACUGUUGGGUAGUGAAAUAGGGGAAACUUUAAUGAAUAAAAUGUACUAAUUUGCCUGACAAAAAAUUCUUAAAAUUUUAUGGUAGAAAUAUAUAUGAAUCUAGUUUCAGGGAAAAUUUACGGAAUUUGAUUUGGAGCCCUGUAGCUCCUGAUAAAAAUAAAUUAGUGACUAUGACGCAGAAAUACUGCUUGCUGGAAUUUGACCAAAUAAUGAAAUUUGUUUGUGAUAAAAGUUAUAUUUUGGUGUAAUCAUGUGGGAAAUUUAUCCACUUGUCAUAUGUUUACUUACUAAGCUAUAUGCUUACUUGCUUUUAUUUUUCCCUUGAUUAUAGUGAUAUCCAUCAACUUAGAAUUGGGACGGAGUCGGACAAUCAUCCACACUAUCAUCCGCGUUUGGGUAUUUUGCUACUGGUAUUCCGGAAAUUAUGGCAUGUAUAGACGACUUUAUGUAAUGUGGC
This 2020-nucleotide long non-coding RNA is filed under the name Gossypium barbadense (sea-island cotton). RNAcentral describes it as "long non-coding RNA (GBAR_LNC017786)". The record is from RNAcentral. Lineage: Eukaryota; Viridiplantae; Streptophyta; Magnoliopsida; Malvales; Malvaceae.